Molecule: long non-coding RNA, 670 nt
Filed under: Salvia miltiorrhiza (redroot sage)
Lineage: Eukaryota; Viridiplantae; Streptophyta; Magnoliopsida; Lamiales; Lamiaceae
Description: long non-coding RNA (SMIL_LNC004129)
Source: RNAcentral
AGGAUCGUCGGGCACUUUGUGCCUGCGGCGCGCGAUAUUGCCCCCAGUUUCUUAAAACAUACAACAUAUGCUACUAUGAGGUUUUUUCUUCGAUGUAAGUGAUUAUCAAAGGGAAACAUAUCAUCAAUACUCGCGAGCGUCGGGGCUCGGAGUGUGCCGACACACGUCGAAUGCAAAUCGAGAACUCGAGGCCCUUCGAGAUGUGGCUCUAUGCCCAUUUGGUUGAAACAUAUAUGAUUUUUAAUUUGAUGUAAGUGAUUAACAAAGGGAACCAUAUAUGAUUUUGAAUUUGAUGUGAGUGAUUUGAAUUUGAUGUGAGUGAUUAUCAAUGAGAAAUAUAUUAUCUACAAUUGCGAGCGUCGGGUUGGGCGCGUGCCGACACACGUCGAAUGCAAAUCGAGAACGCGAGGCCCUUCGAGAUGUGGAUUUAUGCUCUCAUUUGGUUGAAACAUAUAUGAUUUUUAACUACAAGAUUUUUUUUUCUCCGAUGCCGGUGUUUGACAAGGCAUAACCUAACAUCAAAAUCAAAACACUCGGACGUCGGGUGCCGAUGAAAUUAUUUUUUUUAUUUUUUUUAUUUAUUUUUUUUACAUAAAAUAACUUUAUUAGACUUAAUUUAUUGUUGAUAUGUUGAUUAUACUAUUUUUAUAAUUUUUUUUAUGAAGAAAAU